CAAUGUAUGUUUAUGCCUGUGGGCUAUCUUGCAUCGUAGUUUUUUCUACGCGAGGCCUUAGCCUUGUUAUCAAGCACUGAUUGGACAAUGUGAAUUUAUACCUAGAGAUUAUCUUGCAUCGUAUUUCUUUUUGUGCAUAGCCUUAUUAAGCGCUAACUAGACAAUAUAGAUUUAUGUCCAUAGACUAUUUUACACGUAAUGUUUUCUGUACGGAGCCUUGUUGAGCAGUAACUAGAUGAUAUAAAUUUAUGUCCAUAGACUAUCUUGCAUCAUAAUUUUCUCU
Molecule: long non-coding RNA, 283 nt
Filed under: Manihot esculenta (cassava)
Lineage: Eukaryota; Viridiplantae; Streptophyta; Magnoliopsida; Malpighiales; Euphorbiaceae
Description: long non-coding RNA (MESC_LNC002064)
Source: RNAcentral